GCCAGACUCUCUGUACGUCAUUAGUUGAUAAGGUCAAUAGGAUACUGAAGGUGUGGUCAACCUGCAGAUUGCAAUUUAGAUUAUUCGUCCAUAGAGGGCAGUCUCGCCUCAGUAAACCUUCCUAUCCAGGAAAGAGUUAACUUUUCCUGAUGACGAUUUUGACGUCAUUUGGCUUAUCUAAAAUGACUACCAUAACUUAAGUUUGCUUCAAUCUUUGUGGCAACGACUUUGAUCGUAAUUUCUAAAAUUGACAGUUCUAAACUCAAUUUCACCCCUUACUUACAAUGGGACCUUGUAAAAUUAAUUACUUAGUCUUCUGUCACUAGUGUCUGUGUUUAAAAUUAUUUCUAUUCCAUUAACAUUUAAACAGAGCAUUCCAUCCCCCUGCUUCAUUGCUUAUCACUUGGCUUGUUUACAUAAUGCAUUCCUUAGCUCAGGCUAGUGGCUAGUUACAGAAAGGAAAUUUUGUGUCUGUCUUGCCUGAAAUCCAAAAUGGAGUCUGCUCUGUUCUGAG
This is a non-coding RNA of Pelobates cultripes (western spadefoot toad), 514 nucleotides long. The record is from the annotation of a GenBank genome assembly. Lineage: Eukaryota; Metazoa; Chordata; Amphibia; Anura; Pelobatidae.